UUUUAUUUGAGAGUUUGAUCCUGGCUCAGGAUGAACGCUGGCGGCGUGCCUAACACAUGCAAGUUGAGCGAUUUACUUCGGUAAAGAGCGGCGGACGGGUGAGUAACGCGUGGGUAACCUACCCUGUACACACGGAUAACAUACCGAAAGGUAUGCUAAUACGGGAUAAUAUAUUUGAGAGGCAUCUCUUGAAUAUCAAAGGUGAGCCAGUACAGGAUGGACCCGCGUCUGAUUAGCUAGUUGGUAAGGUAACGGCUUACCAAGGCGACGAUCAGUAGCCGACCUGAGAGGGUGAUCGGCCACAUUGGAACUGAGACACGGUCCAAACUCCUACGGGAGGCAGCAGUGGGGAAUAUUGCACAAUGGGCGAAAGCCUGAUGCAGCAACGCCGCGUGAGUGAUGAAGGCC
Molecule: ribosomal RNA, 408 nt
Filed under: Clostridioides difficile
Lineage: Bacteria; Bacillati; Bacillota; Clostridia; Peptostreptococcales; Peptostreptococcaceae
Description: bacterial SSU rRNA
Rfam family: Bacterial small subunit ribosomal RNA
Source: RNAcentral